CUAACGCGUGAAGUAGACCGCCUGGGGAGUACGGUCGCAAGAUUAAAACUCAAAGGAAUUGACGGGGACCCGCACAAGCGGUGGAUGAUGUGGAUUAAUUCGAUGCAACGCGAAAAACCUUACCUACCCUUGACAUGUCAGGAAGUCCGGAGAGAUCUGGACGUGCCCGAAAGGGAACCUGAACACAGGUGCUGCAUGGCUGUCGUCAGCUCGUGUCGUGAGAUGUUGGGUUAAGUCCCGCAACGAGCGCAACCCUUGUCAUUAGUUGCUACGAAAGGGCACUCUAAUGAGACUGCCGGUGACAAACCGGAGGAAGGUGGGGAUGACGUCAAGUCCUCAUGGCCCUUAUGGGUAGGGCUUCACACGUCAUACAAUGGUGCAUACAGAGGGCCGCCAACCCGCGAGGGGGAGCUAAUCCCAGAAAGUGCAUCGUAGUCCGGAUCGCAGUCUGCAACUCGACUGCGUGAAGUUGGAAUCGCUAGUAAUCGCGGAUCAGCAUGUCGCGGUGAAUACGUUCCCGGGUCUUGUACACACCGCCCGUCACACCAUGGGAGCGGGUUUUACCAGAAGUAGGUAGCUUAACCGUAAGGGGGGCGCUUACCACGGUAGGAUUCGUGACCGGGGUGAAG
Molecule: ribosomal RNA, 629 nt
Filed under: uncultured bacterium
Lineage: Bacteria
Description: bacterial SSU rRNA
Rfam family: Bacterial small subunit ribosomal RNA
Source: RNAcentral